GGGUUAGUAGGUUGGUCAUGCCUCUGGUAUGUACUGAUCUCACUGAUUCCUCCUUCCUUAUGAACCGUAAUGCCAUUAAUUUGGUGUUGCGGGGAAUUUGGACUGUUACUUUGAAAAAAUUAGAGUGUUUAAAGCAGGCUAACGCUUGAAUACAUUAGCAUGGAAUAAUAGAAUAGGACUUUGGUUCUAUUUUGUUGGUUUCUAGGAUUGACGUA
RNAcentral lists this ribosomal RNA (215 nucleotides) under Rhizophagus irregularis. Its description in RNAcentral is "partial 18S ribosomal RNA". It matches the Rfam family "Eukaryotic small subunit ribosomal RNA", at positions 644 to 864 of the family's 1831-position model. The record is from RNAcentral. Lineage: Eukaryota; Fungi; Glomeromycota; Glomeromycetes; Glomerales; Glomeraceae.